UACAGAGGCCUCGAGCGUUAGGCGGAAUCACUGGGCUUAAAGCGUGUGUAGGCGGACUUCUAAGUACCUUGUGAAAUCCCACGGCUCACCCGUGGAACUGCUUGGUAUACUGGUUGUCUUGAGCCUUCUAGGGGCGAGUGGAACAAAUGGUGGAGCGGUGAAAUGCGUAGAUAUCAUUUGGAACGCCCAUGGUGAAAACAACUCGCUGGGGAAGUGCUGACGCUGAGACACGAAAGCCAGGGGAGCGAACGGG
Molecule: ribosomal RNA, 253 nt
Filed under: uncultured bacterium
Lineage: Bacteria
Description: partial 16S ribosomal RNA
Rfam family: Bacterial small subunit ribosomal RNA
Source: RNAcentral